This 240-nucleotide unclassified non-coding RNA is filed under the name soil metagenome. RNAcentral's name for it is "partial contains 5.8S ribosomal RNA, internal transcribed spacer 2, and large subunit ribosomal RNA". The record is from RNAcentral.
AACCAUAGAAACCUGCGGAGUACCUGCGGAGGGAUCAUUACGAGAGUGUCACCACUCCCAACCCAUUGUUUACCUACCCGUCCACCGUGCUUCGGCAGGCAGCCCUGUGGGACAGAGCCUCGCCCCCUUUCGCGGGGGGUGCCUGCCGCUUGCCAACCAAAACUCUAGCUGUUUUAGUACCAUCUGAGUCUUCCACAAAUGAACAAAACUUUCAACAACGGAUCUCAGAUCGGAAGAGCA